Long non-coding RNA from Pseudopipra pipra, 374 nucleotides. RefSeq lists it as uncharacterized. The transcript is spliced from 3 exons. The record is from RefSeq and is a predicted model, not a curated record. Lineage: Eukaryota; Metazoa; Chordata; Aves; Passeriformes; Pipridae.
GUAGUCCUAAUUAAGGUGUCUUUUACUCCGUGUUCCCAGGCUCCCUGUUUUCCUUCGGUCGCCGUGGGUGUGCCGGACGCCUCUGGCAGGACUAACCCUGUGGCUUUUAUGUCCAACGUGCUGUGCUGUGUGUGCCUGCAGGUGGUUGGUGUUUCUGCAGUGUUUGGCACAGGACUGGGGGAGAUUUUUACCCAGCUUUCUAAAGCUGUAGAUGAAUAGGAGAGACUGAAUGCACUCCCUUUAUUCACCUUUUCAGAGAGUAUCGGCCAGAAUACGAGCGCCUGAGAAAAACACUGGUAAGUGUUUUUAGCUGUUUUACACCUGAACAGUGUAUCUUGGGUCACUUUUGUGCACACAAUUGCCUUUAUGUUGAG